This is a long non-coding RNA of Solanum dulcamara, 1285 nucleotides long. RefSeq lists it as uncharacterized. NCBI's taxonomy places the organism in Eukaryota, Viridiplantae, Streptophyta, Magnoliopsida, Solanales, Solanaceae. The record is from RefSeq and is a predicted model, not a curated record. The transcript is spliced from 3 exons.
UAUUUUCCGAAUACCAAAUUUAUUUCUAUUGGGCUAUUGGCAUUUGGCAAUUGGGCCUCCUAUAAUUAUUUUUGUUGGGCCAUUUCUAUAAUUUAUCUAUAUCCAUUUCAUUUCAGUAUCAAAUAUUUACCUCUAAUUCUUUAUACUGCCCAUUGCCCAACCCUAAUCUUCACUCUUCACUGAAUAUUCACUCUUCACUUCUCACUUGAGUCACUCUUAACCGCCUCUGCGCCUCAGACCUCAGUCUUCACUCUUCAGUCUUCAUGAAUCACGCCGCCUUCAGCCCUUCAGCUUCACGCCGCCUUCGCCCUUCAGCCCUUCAGCUUCACGCCACCAUCAGCUUCCCGUUCUCCAUCAAAUAUCAAAUCUUUUGGAAAGAUUUGUACGGGAUUAGUGAAACAUAAGUUCCAGGUAAGAGAUUCAUGUUGAUUGAUGUCUUUGAGUAGUUUAUCAACAGCAAGCUUUCUGGGAAGAGUAGAAACAACAUUUUGGAGUUAACUUGUGAAUUGCAACAUUCACCUCCAUCGCUAUUCCAAGAUUUUGAAUAUACUGCUUCUUGUUUUUAAGUUGAAAAGGGAAAGUAUAUAAUACAAGGAAAAAGUGUACAACUGAGCUAUGAGGACUAGUUGUUAUUGAUUUUGAUGUUCUGUUUAUAUACUUUCUCUUUUGAUUUUGAUGUUCUGUUCAAAAAACCCAAAUAUUCUAUAUCUAAAAUUACAGCUUAUGUUUUUUGAUGUUGUUGUUGUGUGUUGUAGGUGUAGUGUAGCUGCUGCAGGUGUAGUGUAAUCUGUGUAGGUGCUGCAUGUGGUGUUGUUGACUGUUGUUGUUGUGUGUUGCUGAAAAAUAGCCUUGCAGGUGUAGUGUGCAGGUGACUGUUGUUGUUGUGUGUUGCUGAAAAACAGCCUUGCAGGUGUAGUUUGCAGGAGACUAUUGUUGUGUGUUGCUGAAAGCCUGAAAAAUAGGUGGGUGUUAUUAGUUGCUAUUAUUUGUUGUUGUUGUUGUGUUGGUGAAAAACAAGUGGGUGUUGUUUGUUGCUAGAAAGAACUUUGUCUUUGCUAUUCCAAAUGAAAGGGAAGAUGCUGAAAAAGAAGGCUUGAAUUACUAUAUUGUAAAUCAGUUUUUGUUUUCAUGUUCUUGUUCUGUCAAUGAUGAUGAAAUUUGAGGAGCUUGUCAUAACAGUUGGCAGUUUUAAGUUCAUAAUGCCUUUUCAAUUUUCCCUGUUCUCUUUAUGUGAUGUUUAUAUUAAAAGCAAGUCAUAUUUUUGGUAAUUACCAUAUGCAGAAAU